GAUGAACGCUGGCGGUAUGCUUAACACAUGCAAGUCGAACGGACUCUUCGGAGUUAGUGGCGGACGGGUGAGUAACGCGUGAGAAUCUGGCUUUGGGUUCGGGACAACCACUGGAAACGGUGGCUAAUACCGGAUGUGCCGAGAGGUAAAAGAGAAAUUGCCUGAAGAUGAGCUCGCGUCUGAUUAGCUAGUUGGUGAGGUAAAGGCUCACCAAGGCAGCGAUCAGUAGCUGGUCUGAGAGGAUGACCAGCCACACUGGGACUGAGACACGGCCCAGACUACUACGGGAGGCAGCAGUGGGGAAGUUUCCGCAAUGGGCGAAAGCCUGACGGAGCAAUACCGCGUGAGGGAAGAAGGCUCUUGGGUUGUAAACCUCUUUUCUUAGGGAAGAACAAAAUGACGGUACCUAAGGAAUCAGCAUCGGCUAACUCCGUG
This 435-nucleotide ribosomal RNA is filed under the name uncultured bacterium. RNAcentral describes it as "partial 16S ribosomal RNA". It matches the Rfam family "Bacterial small subunit ribosomal RNA", at positions 28 to 507 of the family's 1533-position model. The record is from RNAcentral.